Molecule: long non-coding RNA, 862 nt
Organism: Acinonyx jubatus (cheetah)
Lineage: Eukaryota; Metazoa; Chordata; Mammalia; Carnivora; Felidae
Exons: 2
Source: RefSeq, a predicted model, not a curated record
CCCUCCUACGACGUGUUGACAUACAGGUGGUGGUUUUGUGUCACAAAGGGAAGGCGUAGCUCAUCAGCUAAAACCCCACUGUGGCACAGAAAGCCCUCCAUCCACUGUUCUGUAGUGUUUACGGGUCAGAAACCUUAAACACAGAGGCGUUGAACUUCUCCAAGACCACACAACUAGUCAGUAGAAGAAUUGAGGACUAGAACUUACAAGUCGGGGCCCACUAUGGGCUGAGUGUCGGCGUCCCCCCGAAAUGCCAUUUGUUGAAACCUAAUCCCAAGGGGAUGAAGUUAGGAGGCAGGACGUCCUCUGGAAGGAGAUGAGGUUAUGAGGCUGGAGCCCCCUUGAUGGCAUUCGUGUCCUUACAAGAGAGACCCCAGGGAGUCCUCAGCCCCUUCCACCUUGUAAGGACACAGCGAGAAGAUGUCAUCUGUGAACCAGGCAGCAGCUGUCACUAGACCCUGAAUCUGCCGGCGCCUGGAUCUUUGGACUUCCGGUGAACAUCUGAGAUCUGCCUUCAGCCUGGUGUUUGAGACUCCCUUCCUCCUGUUCCAGAUGCUCUACUAGCCAAAUUCCCCACCUUUUCAGAACACAACCAUGUGCACAGCACCAAGCCCUGCAUACUGGGCCCUGGGAGGAGGACAAGGACAUAAAACCACACAAGACGUAGACUUGAGUUUCAAGGAACUCCCAGCCCUCCAUGGCCUUCGCUCCCAUCAGCCUCAGUGUGUGACGUUUGCAGUUCGUGCAGCACAAGCCUAGAGGAGGGAAAGAGCUGGUCUCGCAUUUUCCUGCAGUCACCGAUCCCCUGGCGUGUCCAUGUGCAAUGUAGGCUGUGCAUAAAAUAAAUGCCAGUGGCACAUAA